Molecule: ribosomal RNA, 465 nt
Filed under: uncultured Klebsiella sp.
Lineage: Bacteria; Pseudomonadati; Pseudomonadota; Gammaproteobacteria; Enterobacterales; Enterobacteriaceae
Description: bacterial SSU rRNA
Rfam family: Bacterial small subunit ribosomal RNA
Source: RNAcentral
CCUACGGGGGGCUGCAGUGGGGAAUAUUGCACAAUGGGCGCAAGCCUGUUGCAGCCAUGCCGCGUGUGUGAAGAAGGCCUUCGGGUUGUAAAGCACUUUCAGCGGGGAGGAAGGCGGUGAGGUUAAUAACCUCAUCGAUUGACGUUACCCGCAGAAGAAGCACCGGCUAACUCCGUGCCAGCAGCCGCGGUAAUACGGAGGGUGCAAGCGUUAAUCGGAAUUACUGGGCGUAAAGCGCACGCAGGCGGUCUGUCAAGUCGGAUGUGAAAUCCCCGGGCUCAACCUGGGAACUGCAUUCGAAACUGGCAGGCUAGAGUCUUGUAGAGGGGGGUAGAAUUCCAGGUGUAGCGGUGAAAUGCGUAGAGAUCUGGAGGAAUACCGGUGGCGAAGGCGGCCCCCUGGACAAAGACUGACGCUCAGGUGCGAAAGCGUGGGGAGCAAACAGGAUUAGAUACCCGUGUAGUC